Non-coding RNA from Podarcis lilfordi (Lilford's wall lizard), 73 nucleotides. The record is from the annotation of a GenBank genome assembly. NCBI's taxonomy places the organism in Eukaryota, Metazoa, Chordata, Lepidosauria, Squamata, Lacertidae.
GUCAUAGAUAGCUCAGUUGGUACAGCAUGAGACUGUUAAUCUCAGGGUCAGGGGUUCAAGCCCAUGAUGGACA